RNAcentral lists this ribosomal RNA (460 nucleotides) under uncultured bacterium. RNAcentral's name for it is "partial 16S ribosomal RNA". It matches the Rfam family "Bacterial small subunit ribosomal RNA", at positions 338 to 795 of the family's 1533-position model. The record is from RNAcentral.
CCUACGGGUGGCAGCAGUGAGGAAUAUUGGUCAAUGGACGAGAGUCUGAACCAGCCAAGUAGCGUGAAGGAUGACUGCCCUAUGGGUUGUAAACUUCUUUUAUAUGGGAAUAAAACGUUCCACGUGUGGGAUUUGGUAUGUACCAGAUGAAUAAGGAUCGGCUAACUCCGUGCCAGCAGCCGCGGUAAUACGGAGGAUCCGAGCGUUUUCCGGAUUUAUUGGGUUUAAAGGGAGCGUAGGUGGGUUGUUAAGUCAGUUGUGAAAGUGUGCGGCUCAACCGUAAAAUUGCAGUUGAAACUGGCAGUCUGGAGUACGGUAGAGGUGGGCGGAAUUCGUGGUGUAGCGGUGAAAUGCUUAGAUAUCACGAAGAACUCCGAUUGCGAAGGCAGCUCACUGGACUGCAACUGACAUUGAGGCUCGAAAGUGUGGGUAUCAAACAGGAUUAGAUACCCCAGUAGUC